AGCGAACGCUGGCGGCGUGCUUAACACAUGCAAGUCGAGUGCGCGUGCCGUAGCAAUACGGCAUGGCGCACGGCGCACGGGUGCGUAACACGUGGGUAACCUGCCCUCCAAAGGGGGAUAACCCCCGCGAAAGCGGGGCUAAUACCGCAUGACAUUCCAGAGACUCCUGUCUUUGGACUCAAAGCCCGCAAGGGCGUUGGAGGAGGGGCCCGCGCCCGAUUAGCUUGUUGGCGAGGUAAUGGCUCACCAAGGCUAUGAUCGGUAGCCGGU
RNAcentral lists this ribosomal RNA (270 nucleotides) under uncultured bacterium. Its description in RNAcentral is "partial 16S ribosomal RNA". It matches the Rfam family "Bacterial small subunit ribosomal RNA", at positions 29 to 291 of the family's 1533-position model. The record is from RNAcentral.